This 207-nucleotide small nuclear RNA is filed under the name Crocodylus porosus (Australian saltwater crocodile). RNAcentral describes it as "U2 spliceosomal RNA (ENSCPRG00005010600.1)". It matches the Rfam family "U2 spliceosomal RNA". Rfam says of the family: U2 is a small nuclear RNA (snRNA) component of the spliceosome (involved in pre-mRNA splicing). The record is from RNAcentral. Lineage: Eukaryota; Metazoa; Chordata; Crocodylia; Crocodylidae.
ACACCAUGAUCAAUCAGGUGAUAGCUUUGUUUAUCACAAGGGAUGCUAGCCUGAUCACCUGCCUUCGAUUUGUCUCUGAUACGUCCUCCAUCGGAGGUCUGUAUUGAGCAGAUUCAUUUUGGUGUUGGGUGGUGGAACCGGAGCUUGCUCCAUCCCCUCCAUGCAUUGACCUGGUAUACCAGUGCUUCCAGGACCAGUGCAAAAAAA